Molecule: small nucleolar RNA, 79 nt
Filed under: Myotis brandtii (Brandt's bat)
Lineage: Eukaryota; Metazoa; Chordata; Mammalia; Chiroptera; Vespertilionidae
Description: Small nucleolar RNA SNORD115
Rfam family: Small nucleolar RNA SNORD115
About the family: HBII-52 is a member of the C/D class of snoRNAs, which contain the C (UGAUGA) and D (CUGA) box motifs. HBII-52 is encoded in a tandemly repeated array with another C/D snoRNA, HBII-85, in the Prader-Willi syndrome (PWS) region of chromosome 15.
Source: Rfam by way of RNAcentral
GGGUCCCUGAUGAGAACACACAUUGUCUCGAAGAGAGAUGAUGACUAAACAGUUAUUCUCAGAAUCAGCCUUGAGGCCA